CCUACGGGCGGCUGCAGUGGGGAAUAUUGGACAAUGGGCGAAAGCCUGAUCCAGCCAUGCCGCGUGUGUGAAGAAGGCCUUCGGGUUGUAAAGCACUUUCAGUGGGGAAGAAAGCCUUGGGGCUAAUACCCUCGAGGAAGGACAUCACCCACAGAAGAAGCACCGGCUAACUCCGUGCCAGCAGCCGCGGUAAUACGGAGGGUGCGAGCGUUAAUCGGAAUUACUGGGCGUAAAGCGCGCGUAGGCGGUCUGAUAAGCCGGUUGUGAAAGCCCCGGGCUCAACCUGGGAACGGCAUCCGGAACUGUCAGGCUAGAGUGCAGGAGAGGAAGGUAGAAUUCCCGGUGUAGUGGUGAAAUGCGUAGAGAUCGGGAGGAAUACCAGUGGCGAAGGCGGCCUUCUGGACUGACACUGACGCUGAGGUGCGAAAGCGUGGGUAGCAAACAGGAUUAGAUACCCGUGUAGUC
This 465-nucleotide ribosomal RNA is filed under the name Vreelandella stevensii. RNAcentral describes it as "partial 16S ribosomal RNA". It matches the Rfam family "Bacterial small subunit ribosomal RNA", at positions 338 to 795 of the family's 1533-position model. The record is from RNAcentral. Lineage: Bacteria; Pseudomonadati; Pseudomonadota; Gammaproteobacteria; Oceanospirillales; Halomonadaceae.